CGGUAAUUCCAGCUCCAAUAGCGUAUAUUAAAGUUGUUGCAGUUAAAAAGCUCGUAGUUGAACCUUGGGCUUGGUUGGCCGGUCCGCCUUUUUGGCGAGUACUGGACCCAACCGAGCCUUUCCUUCUGGCUAACCUUUCGCCCUUGUGGUGUUUGGCGAACCAGGACUUUUACUUUGAAAAAAUUAGAGUGUUCAAAGCAGGCCUUUGCUCGAAUAUAUUAGCAUGGAAUAAUAGAAUAGGACGUUAUGGUUCUAUUUUGUUGGUUUCUAGGACCAUCGUAAUGAUUAAUAGGGACGGUCGGGGGCAUCAGUAUUCAGUUGUCAGAGGUGAAAUUCUUGGAUUUACUGAAGACUAACUACUGCGAAAGCAUUUGCCAAGGACGUUUUCAUUAAUCAAGAACGAAGGUUAGGGGAUCGAAGAUGAUCAGAUACCGUCGUAGUCUUAACCAUAAACUAUGCCGACUAGGGAUCGGGUGUUGUUCUUUUUUUGACGCACUCGGCACCUUACGAGAAAUCAAAGUCCUUGGGUUCUGGGGGGAGUAUGGUCGCAAGGCUGAAACUUAAAGGAAUUGACGGAAGGGCACCACCAGGAGUGGAGCCUGCGGCUUAAUUUGACUCAACACGGGGAAACUCACCAGGUCCAGACACAAUAAGGAUUGACAGAUUGAGAGCUCUUUCUUGAUUUUGUGGGUGGUGGUGCAUGGCCGUUCUUAGUUGGUGGAGUGAUUUGUCUGCUUAAUUGCGAUAACGAACGAGACCUUAACCUACUAAAUAGUGCUGCUAGCUUUUGCUGGUAUAGUCACUUCUUAGAGGGACUAUCGAUUUCAAGU
Molecule: ribosomal RNA, 830 nt
Filed under: uncultured fungus
Lineage: Eukaryota; Fungi
Description: SSU rRNA
Rfam family: Eukaryotic small subunit ribosomal RNA
Source: RNAcentral